This 627-nucleotide ribosomal RNA is filed under the name uncultured Burkholderiales bacterium. RNAcentral describes it as "bacterial SSU rRNA". It matches the Rfam family "Bacterial small subunit ribosomal RNA", at positions 381 to 1003 of the family's 1533-position model. Lineage: Bacteria; Pseudomonadati; Pseudomonadota; Betaproteobacteria; Burkholderiales. The record is from RNAcentral.
CCCUGAUCCUGCCUGCCGCGUGAGUGAUUAAGGCCUUCUGGUUGUAAGCUCUUUUGUCCGGGACGAUAAGGACCGUGCUAAUACCUGGGGCUCCUGAUAGUUCCGUGCCAAUAAGCACCGGCUUACUACGUGCCAGCAGCCGCGGUAAUACGUCUGGUGCAUGCGUUAAUCUGAAUUACUGGGCGUAAAGCGUGCGCAAGCCGUUUUCUCAAACCGGUGUGAAAUCCCCGGGCUUAACCUGGGAAUUGCGUUUGAGACUGGUGGGCUUGAGUGUGGAAGAGGGAAAUGGAAUUCCAUGUGUAACAAUAAAAUGCGUAAAUAUGCCGAGGAACACCGAUGGCGAAGGCAAUCCCCUGGGCCUGCACUGACACUCAUGCUCAAAUACGUGGGGAGCAAACAGGAUUAAAUACCCUGGUAGUCCACGCCCUAAACUAUGUCAACUGGUUGUUGGGUAUUUUUUUACUUUGUAACCUGGCUAACUACGUGAAGUUGACCGCCUGGGGAUGAAAAUUCACAGGGUUGAAACUCAAGAAAUUUUUACGGGGUUUUAAUGGGUUGUUGGGCGGAACCUAAUGGGGAGUUGGCGGGACACUAACGGGAUUUUACCGUGAGCUUGUUGAUUGUCUG